RNAcentral lists this transfer RNA (77 nucleotides) under Turicibacter sanguinis. RNAcentral's name for it is "tRNA-Pro". It matches the Rfam family "tRNA". Rfam says of the family: Transfer RNA (tRNA) molecules are approximately 80 nucleotides in length. Their secondary structure includes four short double-helical elements and three loops (D, anti-codon, and T loops). The record is from RNAcentral. Lineage: Bacteria; Bacillati; Bacillota; Erysipelotrichia; Erysipelotrichales; Turicibacteraceae.
CGGGGUGUAGCGUAGUCUGGUAGCGCGCCUGCUUUGGGAGCAGGAUGUCGGGAGUUCGAAUCUCUCCCCCCCGACCA